Molecule: non-coding RNA, 70 nt
Organism: Podarcis lilfordi (Lilford's wall lizard)
Lineage: Eukaryota; Metazoa; Chordata; Lepidosauria; Squamata; Lacertidae
Source: the annotation of a GenBank genome assembly
GGCUAUAGCUCAGUGGUAGAGCAUCUGUUCUGAAUAUAGACAGUCCCAGGUUUGAUCUCUGGCAUCUCUA